CCUAGAGUCUGGAGCUGCAGAAGAGGCAGGGCGGAGAGGAGGGGAAAGAAGCAUCUGAACGGCUAAAUUGUGCCAGCAGCGCUGAGAGCGAGAGUCGCGAGACCGUGCUGAGGACGUGGUUGUCUGUCCUUCCCCCGGGGAUGCCGUUGACUGCGGCCGUCUCAGGCUUGCGUGGCUUCUCUCUGCCCGGUGUUGCCAUCCUCGCAGCGCGGGGGCGAAAAGGGACACACAGAGCCCUUCCCGGCUGUGGACAGGAGCUGCCUCGGCUGAAGCUGGAGACGCCAACGAAAGGUGGAGGACGGCCUAGAGUCUGGAGCUGCAGAAGAGGCAGGGCGGAGAGGAGGGGAAAGAAGCAUCUGAACGGCUAAAUUGUGCCAGCAGCGCUGAGAGCGAGAGUCGCGAGACCGUGCUGAGGACGUGGUUGUCUGUCCUUCCCCCGGGGAUGCCGUUGACUGCAGCCGUCUCAGGCUUGCGUGGCUUCUCUCUGCCCGGUGUUGCCAUCCUCGCAGCGCGGGGGCGAAAAGGGACACACAGAGCCCUUCCCGGCUGUGGACAGGAGCUGCCUCGGCUGAAGCUGGAGACGCCAACG
Molecule: non-coding RNA, 589 nt
Organism: Phalacrocorax carbo (great cormorant)
Lineage: Eukaryota; Metazoa; Chordata; Aves; Suliformes; Phalacrocoracidae
Source: RefSeq, a predicted model, not a curated record